AAGUUUGUUGUGAUUAAGGUUAAAUUAAUAUGAUCUGUAAAAUAAUAAAUUAUUAGAGUAAGGAAUACUGAAAUUAUAAAUUUAUGUAACUGUAAAGGAGUUAUGAAAGAAAGUUAAGUUUAAAUAGAAGAAAUAAAAUUAUGUACCUUUUGUAUCAGGGUUUAUUAAAUAUCAGCAAGAAUUUGGGUAUCUCGAUUUAAAGAGAGCUAAUUUUUUGGGGAGUUUAAGGUAGUAAACUUAUUUUAAACAAAAAGUUAGUAGUGAAAUGCUAGUCGAUCUUUAAGGUAUCUAGUUUCUUAAGAAAUAAAUUUAAUUUAGGUGACAUAUAUGACUACGCGUUUAUGUGUUUAAUUGGAGUGUGACUAAAUUUUUAGGGGAUAAGCUCUAAAAAAAAUUAUAAAACCUAUAAUUUUUGGAAUGGUAGGCUUAGAAGUAGCCACUAGGAAAGUGUUUUAACUCAUCUUUUUGUAGAAAAAUUUUAGAAAUUUUAAAUUUUUAUUAAGAUAACCUAAAAAAUUAAAACUUAGGUAUGAUAAUGAUAAAAUUAGUAUAUGGGUAAAUUUUUAUAAAGGAACUCGGCAAAUUUGUGCUCGCCUGUUUAUCAAAAACAUCGCCUUCAGAUAAAAUAGAAGGUCUUACCUGCCCACUGAAGAUUUAAAGGGCCGCGGUAUUUUGACCGUGCAAAGGUAGCAUAAUCAUUAGUCUCCUAAUUAGGGACUGGAAUGAAAGGUGGAACGAGGUACAAGCUGUCUUUAUAAGAAAAGAGAAUUUAACUUUUUAGUGAAAAGGCUAAAAUUAUAUUAGAGGACGAGAAGACCCUAUAGAACUUUAUAAAUAAACAAGUAACUUUUUAGAGAUAUUAUUUAAUUUAAAUUGGGAAUUUAUUACGUUGGGGUGAUGGGGCAAUAAAAAAACUUGCUUUUUUAUAACCACUUAUAUGUGAAUGUGAGAACCAUAUUUAAUGAUUAGAAAAUUAAGUUACCUUAGGGAUAACAGCGUAAUCUUCUUUGAGAGCUCAAAUCGACAAGAAGGAUUGCGACCUCGAUGUUGGAUUAAGGGUAAUCUAGGGUGUAGCAGCUCUAGAUUUAGGUCUGUUCGACCUUUAAAACCUUACAUGAUCUGAGUUCAGACCGGCGUGAGCCAGGUCGGUUUCUAUCCUUAGUUUACAAAAAUGUUUUAGUACGAAAGGACCAAACAUUUGGGAUUAUCCUUGAUUUAAGAAUACCAAUA
This 1230-nucleotide ribosomal RNA is filed under the name Serratella sp. Yunnan-2018. Its description in RNAcentral is "16S ribosomal RNA". The stretch from base 546 to 1230 matches the Rfam family "Archaeal large subunit ribosomal RNA", at positions 1423 to 2816 of the family's 2987-position model. Lineage: Eukaryota; Metazoa; Arthropoda; Insecta; Ephemeroptera; Ephemerellidae. The record is from RNAcentral.